CUUCCAUUUGCUUUUUCAGAAAUGAUCUUUCUUACUGAAAAUGAAAUGCUUUAACACAGUGAUUCAUCAAGUCUGCUGAAAAACGAUCCCAGCCAGCAUCCACCAAUCUGUCAAGCUUCUCUUGUUUGUCUUUGUCCUCAGCCAGGCAAAAUGUCUAUCACAAAACAGGGACUGAGCCUCCAAGGAGAAUCGCGGCUAGCUGACGUGCCCAGCCGUGGAAGCCAGCAGCCUUCAAAGGACCAAGAGCUGACAGACACCACCGUGCCUCCCCGAGUAAAAUAACUGAAGAAUUAUUGAGGCUGAGAUAAAGGCUAUGUAACAGCAACAGCAACAGCAACCCCACUUAGCAAAGACACAAACAUGCUGAAAGCACUAUAUAAACAUUCUGCGCUUGCAGAAACCUGUGAGGCCCAUAAUUAUUUCCAUCUCUGUGUUACAGAUGGGGGCUUUCGGUAGCCUUCUCUGUUCCCGUGGAUGGUUUGUCAGAUCUCUCACUCUCUGUCUAAGCAAAAGACUUUGGAGUUUAUACAUGUAACUGGUAAUGCAUGAAACAGGAGGCAAACACUGAAGACGCCCAGUCCUGUACUUCUUGCUCCUGAUGAGGAAGAGGAAGCACUUUGGAGUAAAACUUCUUCAUGGGCAUACAAGGAAGGUGCAUCUGUGCAGAACACAGGUGUUACCAAUAAUUACAGUAUAUACGAUACAAGACUUGGAUUAAACUGAAGCCAUACUAAUACUAAACAGUGAAAGUCCUUCCACUAUCCCAGCAUGCUGAGAGGGAAGGUGGCUUUGCUGUGAUCCUCUCUGGAAGAUGGGCCAAAAGGAGACUCUGGGGGAGAUCUUUAUGAGCUCCUUUUCAUCUCCCUGCCAGCCUGUGCUUGUCACUUAUGCUCUGGCAUAGCCUUUAGGCAAAGACCCCAUAGAGGAUGCCAGCGGCUUCCCCAGCUUUCUAACCUGCAGGUAAAUAGACACUUUUAAUUUCAAGGCUCAAUGCUUCCCUACCACAUCAAGAACAAAUAUUCCACCCAGCCAGCCCACCAAAAUGACUGCGAUCCCAAACAGCAGAUGUCAAACUGGACAAAGCCACUCGGCAGCGUUUCAAUAUUGGCAGUUUCUCAGGUACCAAGAGGGAAAUACACUGGCUCUGGCUCUGUAACUUUGAAGGAAAAGCAGAAAAGGCAGGAGCAGAUGAUCCCAGGAAAUGAUCUAAGAUUGCAAGAAGAAUGAAGGGGUCGGAAGCAUGCUGGCUGGGGUCAGCUGAGGACUGGAUUAUCUAUGGUGAAUUUACCCAGCAACAAAUUGCAUCUGUGAUGAGAGAGUCCCUUUUGCCUGCUGGAUGAUGUGAGGUGUUCUUCAUAACUCAACCUCCAGCUGGCAGCACUUGUGUUUCUCGGCUGAAUACAUGCUUUAUAUCCCGGGUGGAUUGUGCUGUAAGGUCAGUUGUUAUCACUGAUGUGAGCUUAGGAAAGCGCUUGUUACUCAGGAGUGCAAACCGUUUGCAGGGAUGCAGCCCUUCCCAUUUCAGAACAUUUGGGAUCUGGUCCCUGCCUCAAGACUCCCUGUACUGCUGCUGUGGUCCUCUUCAUUUUGGCUGUGCAAAUCUGAACUGCAGUGCUAAUAAGCUCUGAAGCACCCAUGUCUCCAUUGAUAGCACUGAGGGCUCUGUCACCUCUCUUCAUUUUAGCGUUUUGCACUUAGUAUAUAUGCUUGUGGUGGUUGCUUAGCCAGAGUUUCAUAGCGCCUUUCUUCUUCAAGUGUGCCCUGACUCAUGUUAUUGAUCCCCCAGGUGCUAGCUCGGUGAUUUCCUGAGUUUUUCGCAUUGUCAGGUUUGUUGUUGCCGCUUUGCUGCUUUGACGCAACGCCGUUCAAGAGUUGUAGGGUUUCCUCCCUUGAGGUGAGCAUGCUGUAGCACGUCCACUGACACUGAAUAUGUUUCGCCUUCGUUAGUUCCCUGACAACUCCCAGAUUUGGAAUCUGACCAGUGAUCUGGGCAACACUCUGAAGAGUAUUUCACCUAUUUAUGUCCCAAAGCGAUUCUUGCUAGACUGGCAACUUCUGAAAUUACAUAGCCUAUAUGUCUUCUGUGUUAAUUAGAAAGGUAAUUGGAGCCACUGCCUUUUCUUUCUGCUCUACUUGGCUUCACAGAUGCGCUGGCAAAACUUUUACCAACACUGUGUCAAGAAGUUUAGUAGUAGGAAAAAAACAAAUAAAACUGAUACUCUCACCUCCUUUUCUAUUUUGCAAAAGAUUAUGACAGAUAAAGAGACCCUACUGAACUGCAAAAGCAUUUCUGUCUAGUUUCCCCCUGAGCCCUGCCACCAUGCGUUGUGCUGGUUUAGUCCCUGGGUAUGGAUUACCUGGAUUGUCUGUGCUUACUGCUUCAUCCAGCAGCCAAACCAAAGAAGGGAGAAAGCUGGUGUAGCAAAGGCUUCCCCAUAUGCGUGAUUCCAAGUGUGAUUCUCAGGUGAAGGCACUGUAUACACAGUACUCGUUAGGUUUUUAGGUUCUGAACUAUUAUAAAUAGUCGAAGUAGCCCUACUGCCUGCCCGUGGAGCUACGGCAUGUUAGCGUGGAGCUAUGGCAUGUUAGCAAAGUUGAGAAGGCACUCGCACUCGCUGUAGGAAAUCGUGCAAGAUAACAUUGAUGGGGAGGCAGAAUGACAAAUGCAACUAUUUCUCCAAAGUUUGGAGUUAUUUUUAUUUGCCUUUUGGUCUUUAAUAUUUUAAACCUUUUAAACCUUUUACAUUUUAUCAUAGAACU
This is a non-coding RNA of Struthio camelus australis, 2760 nucleotides long. The record is from RefSeq and is a predicted model, not a curated record. Lineage: Eukaryota; Metazoa; Chordata; Aves; Struthioniformes; Struthionidae.